RNAcentral lists this long non-coding RNA (726 nucleotides) under Phascolarctos cinereus (koala). Its description in RNAcentral is "lncRNA (ENSPCIG00000006727.2)". Lineage: Eukaryota; Metazoa; Chordata; Mammalia; Diprotodontia; Phascolarctidae. The record is from RNAcentral.
CCUCCUUGAAGCAGAAUGAUUCUUCACCAUCCUCAUGCCCACCCCCAUUCCCUGCCUCUCUUUACACCAUUUGUAAUAACAUUAACCAAAAAAAGAGGGACUAGAACCUGUCUUUUGACUUAAGUCCCAGAACUCUUAGGAAACUAGAAAAUGAGAAUUCAUUCACUGAGGAAAGACCACAAUUCAGAUGGCUGAGCAAUUCACUGGACUUAUUGACUCUGAUAGUUUCUCACUUUUUCUUGGCCUAAAUACAUUCUGUGCUCUUAAAAAACAGGAUCCCUAGAGAAAGAAGAGGUUAUAGGGACAAAUGGAGACUAACUCUGAGCUAUUCAAGUUCAGUGCCUGUACUGUGUUGAAUAUACAGUUCGAAAGGUAAUUGGGAGAAGGACACCACAUCGCCCUGUAGCUCUGCAAGCCCAGCACAAGUCUAAUGAGUGAUCAGAGGCUUAAGCCCAGAUUGCUUAAGAAUGCCUGUAGGGGCAUAGUCACCAAAGUUCGACUCUCCGACAGAACAGCUUGCUGCGGCUCUAAUGUGAAAACACUCCAGUUAUAACAAGGGAUUGUUCCAUUUGUUGAAAAAUGUGCUCCGAAUGGCAAAAGAUGACACUCUCUGGAGGUCCUUAAGAUCCAUGAAGGUAAAUAUAAAUCUCUUGAGGGGUAGAAAUCGUUGUUAAACUUGGCUAAAUAGAACAAAGUUUACCUGUAGCGUAUACCUCUGAACUUGUC